RNAcentral lists this transfer RNA (74 nucleotides) under Takifugu rubripes (torafugu). RNAcentral describes it as "tRNA-Thr (CGT) (tRNA-Thr-CGT-5-1)". It matches the Rfam family "tRNA". From Rfam's summary of the family: Transfer RNA (tRNA) molecules are approximately 80 nucleotides in length. Their secondary structure includes four short double-helical elements and three loops (D, anti-codon, and T loops). The record is from RNAcentral. Lineage: Eukaryota; Metazoa; Chordata; Actinopteri; Tetraodontiformes; Tetraodontidae.
GGCGCUGUCGCUUAGCUGGUCAAAGCGCCUGUCUCGUAAACAGGCGAGCCUGGGUUCGAAUCCCAGCAGUGUCU